CCUACGGGAGGCAGCAGUGGGGAAUAUUGGGCAAUGGGCGCAAGCCUGACCCAGCAACGCCGCGUGAAGGAAGACGGCUUUCGGGUUGUAAACUUCUUUUCUCAGGGACGAAGCAAGUGACGGUACCUGAGGAAUAAGCCACGGCUAACUACGUGCCAGCAGCCGCGGUAAUACGUAGGUGGCAAGCGUUAUCCGGAUUUACUGGGUGUAAAGGGAGUGUAGGCGGGCCUGCAAGUCAGAUGUGAAAAUCACGGGCGCAACCUGUGGGCUGCAUUUGAAACUGUAGUUCGUGAGUACUGGAGAGGCAGACGGAAUUCCUGGUGUAGCGGUGAAAUGCGUAGAUAUUAGGAGGAACGCCAGUGGCGAAGGCGGUCUGCUGGACAGCAACUGACGCUGAGGCGCGAAAGCGUGGGGAGCAAACAGGAGUAGAUACCCGGGUAGUC
RNAcentral lists this ribosomal RNA (443 nucleotides) under uncultured bacterium. RNAcentral describes it as "partial 16S ribosomal RNA". It matches the Rfam family "Bacterial small subunit ribosomal RNA", at positions 338 to 795 of the family's 1533-position model. The record is from RNAcentral.